RNAcentral lists this non-coding RNA (31 nucleotides) under Mus musculus (house mouse). The record is from RNAcentral. Lineage: Eukaryota; Metazoa; Chordata; Mammalia; Rodentia; Muridae.
UCCCCUAGAACUGCGAGGCAGAACUAGCCCC